CCUCCUUUCUAAGGAUGAAUAAAAGUAAAAUUUUAUUCUAAAUAAUAUACAGGUUAAUGUUGACCGUCCUCAUUUCUCUUCUUAAAGUAGUGUUUCCAUCUUGUAGGGCCGGAAGCUCAGUUGGUUAGAGCACACCCUUGAUAAGGGUGGGGUCGAAAGUUCGAGUCUUUCUCGGCCCACCAAAUUUAACUGGGGGAUUAGCUCAGCUGGGAGAGCGCCUGAUUUGCAUUCAGGAGGUCAGCGGUUCGAUCCCGCUAUCCUCCACCAGGAAACAUUUAGCUAUUUUUUUUGUGAAUAUUUAAUAAUUUAUAUCAAUAUCUAUAUCCGAACAUUAAUUUGUUUAUUAAUGUUCAAAUAAAAAAUUUGAUUCAACACAGAAUUUUUUCUGUGCAUAAAUCAAGCGUUUAAGGGCGUGUGGCGGAUGCCUG
Molecule: transfer RNA, 428 nt
Filed under: uncultured Pelagibacterales bacterium
Lineage: Bacteria; Pseudomonadati; Pseudomonadota; Alphaproteobacteria; Candidatus Pelagibacterales
Description: partial 16S-23S ribosomal RNA intergenic spacer
Rfam family: tRNA (bases 192-264)
Source: RNAcentral